Long non-coding RNA from Tyto alba (common barn owl), 2174 nucleotides. RefSeq lists it as uncharacterized. The transcript has 3 exons. The record is from RefSeq and is a predicted model, not a curated record. NCBI's taxonomy places the organism in Eukaryota, Metazoa, Chordata, Aves, Strigiformes, Tytonidae.
UAUUUCAGACUGAGGAGAGCCGAGAGGAAUUUCUUCUUCAGAAGAUCCAAGAAAGAAGUUUUACAAGGUUGAGGGACAGAUUACUGUAAAGCACACUGCAUGGCUGCAGGUGGGGAGAAGGAAACAGCCCUGAGCCGCCCUGCCAUUUUAUACCUAGUCAUGCUGCUGGAAAGCAAAGACAAAGGACGCGGAGAAGACGGAGGCUGGUGUGCGCACGGCUGUCGGUGAGCCCGCUGCCCCGUGACGGCGGCAUCGCGCCCGUGACAACGCGCAUCCCCACGCCGUGGUUCACGGCACCCAGAGGCACGUCCAUGCGGGAAGGCUGGUGCGGUUACGCCCAGGGGGCCUGAGGCUGGAACACAGGAGCUGGGCUUUAAAAAGACCGUGUGAAAAAAGUGGUUACUUUUUGCUGACAAGGUAAUACUAAAAUUGACUUCUUCCUCUUGCUGGCCUGGUAUGAAUACAGACUUGACAUUACUUUGCGGCACCUCUUCUUUCUGUUGAAUCAACUAACAGGAUAGCUUCAGGAUUCAGAGGAUACUUGUGCUUGGCAUGAAAAAUUUUAUGUAAAUCCUGUUGUGGGAAUGUUAAUGCAAAGCUAACUGGGUAAAUGAGCCAAAGCAAGCCUUUCGUUGAUCUGAUUUUUUCUUUUGCCUUUUUUUUUUUUCCCCCUCCCUGAAGCACUGUACUCCAGCAUUAAUAAAGUUUGAAGACUAUGCUAAUGAUGUACAGCACACAUGCUCUAAAAGCCAUCUACUCUAUGUAAAUGCUACCUUGUACUGCUAGUUCAGCUUGGAAGCUCCCUGUGAAUGUUUUGGAGACUUUUAGCAUCUCCAAAAUAUUUCUGGAAAGCAAGCAAAUGAUUUAGGGUCAGGACACCGGAUUUUUAAAUUAAUUAUCACUUUGAAAAAAGCCUUUGUCACGAAGAGCUGGACUAUGAAGAGGGCAUUUGGCUCUGGAUUAAUUUUAGAUGAAGUUUUAGGACCAGGCUAGGCUGCAGGUUUGUCUUCAAUGAUACUUAAAUGGAAUGCCCUGGCCUUCCUGCAUCCUGGCCUGUAACUGCACGGGACCAUGCUCUGCCAACUUUCUGUCACCUUGGGCUUCAUUAGCAUGAGAACACAGACGCCUUUUGGCUUUGUGUCUCACUGCAAAAUAAACCAUUGGGGCUGGUUUGCCAGUCCUCUCCUUCGGCCAGUUGUAUAUAGGUGCCUCAUAUACUCGACUUUAAAGGGCCUUGGACAGGAUUUAUUUAGGUUCAGUUUUUUUAUUACAGCUCUUAAGUAGGUACCAGAGUGAUGGUUCCUGUUUACAAUGGUGACCAGUUACGCAGGUAACUACUCCUAAAGGACCUAAGAGCAUCGGCUGACCAAGUGCUCAGCAGAAUAAGUAAAUAUUUUAUAAUUAAGACCUUAAUUGAGAAUUCUGUAUUUAAAAAAAAAAAUAUAAAAAUCCUACCGCUUCCGUAAGAAAUAUUACCUGUGCAUUUAAGGCAACCAGGGGUUCACUUUCUAUUUCUAUUCUAAUAGCUGUUUUAAUAGAUGGUGAUAUAAUAAGUACAAUGUUUGAUACGGUGAGUGAACCAGAACACUUAAGAAUAUUUGCAGAAAGAAAUUCUGAACAAGUAACACAGACAACUAGCAGGUAAUUUUUCUUACAUGAAGAAACUUUCAAUAAGUCACAUUCAUUCAAUGAGGGAAAGAAGCAGUGCCACGAACCAGCAUAUGUGCACAGCACGCCUUUUGUCUACAGCAGAAAUCCUGUGUGUUACCUUUGAACUAGCUACGUAGGGAGGGAAAAAUUAUCCGCCCUCCACAAAUGAUUUUGAGAUUAAUUAUGCCUAAUGGAAAAAAAAAUAAAAAUAAAAAAAAAAUCCCAGUCUGUUCAUGGACAAUGAACGGAGAGGGAUGUGAAAUUUGUCAAGGUACUAAUACAUUAGAAAUUAUUCCCACUUUUGGUCAGCAACAGUCAUUGAACACAAAUACCAUUAUAUUAAGGGCAGUAAGAGUCCAGAUGAAAUAGAAAAGAAUAAGGCCGUCAAACUUUUGGAAAGACAAGUAGAGGAGGUACAGAUCGUGCUGUGAUCUAUUCAGCACUGGUGAAAAGAGCACUGUAAAUGUUUAUUCACUUUUUGUACUCAUUGGCUUCUUAAAUAAAAGAACAGAUACUAUUUAAAA